RNAcentral lists this ribosomal RNA (500 nucleotides) under uncultured bacterium. Its description in RNAcentral is "partial 16S ribosomal RNA". It matches the Rfam family "Bacterial small subunit ribosomal RNA", at positions 30 to 523 of the family's 1533-position model. The record is from RNAcentral.
AUUGAACGCUGGCGGCAUGCCUUACACAUGCAAGUCGAACGGCAGCACGGGUGCUUGCACCUGGUGGCGAGUGGCGAACGGGUGAGUAAUACAUCGGAACGUACCUUAUCGUGGGGAUAACGCAGCGAAAGCUGUGCUAAUACCGCAUACGCCCUGAGGGGGAAAGCGGGGGAUCGCAAGACCUCGCGCGAUUAGAGCGGCCGAUGCCGGAUUAGCUUGUUGGUGGGGUAAAAGCCCACCAAGGCGACGAGCAGUAGCUGGUCUGAGAGGACGAUCAGCCACACUGGGACUGAGACACGGCCCAGACUCCUACGGGAGGCAGCAGUGGGGAAUUUUGGACAAUGGGGGCAACCCUGAUCCAGCAAUGCCGCGUGAGUGAAGAAGGCCUUCGGGUUGUAAUGCUCUUUUGUCAGGGAAGAAACCCCCUCUCUCACACAGUCCGGGAAUGACGGUACCUGAAGAAUAAGCACCGGCUAACUACGUGCCAGCCGCCGCUGUAA